This 438-nucleotide ribosomal RNA is filed under the name Conus gladiator. Its description in RNAcentral is "partial 16S ribosomal RNA". It matches the Rfam family "Bacterial large subunit ribosomal RNA", at positions 1843 to 2541 of the family's 2925-position model. Lineage: Eukaryota; Metazoa; Mollusca; Gastropoda; Neogastropoda; Conidae. The record is from RNAcentral.
AAAUACGAAGUCGGACCUGCCCAGUGAGUUUUAAACGGCCGCGGUACUCUGACCGUGCAAAGGUAGCAUAAUCAUUUGCCUUAUAAUUGAAGGCUGGAAUGAAUGGUUUGACAAGAAUACAUCUGUCUCUUUUUGAUUUCCUAGAAUUUUAUUUUUGGAUGAAAAAGUCCAGAUUUAAUUAAAAGACAAGAAGACCCUAUCGAGCUUUAGAGAAAUUGACGGAUUUAUUAAUCCUCUAUAGUAAUAAAAGAAAAGCCGUUAAGUAUACUUUGGUUGGGGCAACCGAGGAGCAGAUAAAGCCUCCUCUAAAUUUUAAGUCUUACUUGUGUUGAUCCAAAAGUUUUGAUCAAAGGAAUUAGUUACCGUAGGGAUAACAGCAUUAUCUUUUUCAAGAGCCCAUAUCGAAAAAAAGGUUUGUGACCUCGAUGUUGGACCAGA